UAUCUUAAAACAAAAUUUUAAAAGUUACUAAGUCACUCAUAAGGAUUUCAGGAAGCACUGCAGUGUAAUAUGCUUAAGAAUGGAGAUGGUUCACAUGUAAAAUGCUAUCACAGUCCUUGGCAUGGAAUAAGUGUCUAAUUAACUUUUACGUAUAAUUAUAAUUAUCAUCUAAAAAGUUCAAAACAGAAGUUGGCCAGGAGAAAGGGUGUCUCCAUCCUUAAAUAUUUUACUCCUUACUGUGUGAUAUAUUAUUUUGUCAGCUUCUUCUAGCUACAAUUCCCAAGGAAGGGAUAGAGAGCAGCAGCUUCCAAGUAAUGACCCAUGUGGGUAUAAAGAGAAAUUUUUAUCAUAUUAGAAAAAAUAUAUUUAUAUACAUGCUACCAACUUUACCUAGAAGAGAAGAGCAAGGGAUUGGAAAACAUAAAUUAGCAUAAAAUCCCUGCUCCAGCUUUUUACACAUACAGAUGUUUUCCUGCAUAUUUAUCCAUCCUUCUGAGCACUGCUCAAAUGUUACACCCUCAGAGAAGCUCUCCUGGACUCCUCAUCCUGGGCUGGAUACUCUGUCACAUGCUCUAAUAGUGUCUGAUACCCUUCCACUAGAACAGGGAUCACUGUUGUAAUUAGGUAAUUAUUUGGGUAAUUAAUUGUUUAACAGCUGUGUCCAGUGUCAGUAUGCAAGCAAGCUCCAUGAAGGCAGUGUUCCUGUCUGCCUGUUCACCCCAAAAUCACCAACACUUGCAUAUGCCUUGCAUGAAACAGGUAAGUGAACAUAAAUGUGUAUAAGGUUGGCAUCC
RNAcentral lists this long non-coding RNA (794 nucleotides) under Pan troglodytes (chimpanzee). RNAcentral describes it as "long non-coding RNA NONPTRT011422". Lineage: Eukaryota; Metazoa; Chordata; Mammalia; Primates; Hominidae. The record is from RNAcentral.